This 424-nucleotide ribosomal RNA is filed under the name uncultured bacterium. RNAcentral describes it as "partial 16S ribosomal RNA". It matches the Rfam family "Bacterial small subunit ribosomal RNA", at positions 360 to 776 of the family's 1533-position model. The record is from RNAcentral.
AAUAUUGGACAAUGGGCGAAAGCCUGAUCCAGCCAUGCCGCGUGUGUGAAGAAGGCCUUCGGAUUGUAAAGCACUUUAUGUUGGGGGGAAGGGGUUGAAGCUAAUACCUUCAAUCUUGUACGUUACCAACAGAAUACGCACCGGCUCAUUCUGUGCCAGCAGCCGCGGUAAUACAGAGGGUGCAAGCGUUAAUCGGAAUUACUGGGCGUAAAGGGCGCGUAGGUGGUUCAGUAAGAUGGAAGUGAAAUCCCCGGGCUUAACCUGGGAACUGCUUUCAUAACUGAUGAGCUAGAGUACGGUAGAGGGUAGUGGAAUUUCCUGUGUAGCGGUGAAAUGCGUAGAUAUAGGAAGGAACACCAGUGGCGAAGGCGACUACCUGGACUGAUACUGACACUGAGGUGCGAAAGCGUGGGGAGCAAACAGG